Molecule: long non-coding RNA, 756 nt
Organism: Daphnia pulex (common water flea)
Lineage: Eukaryota; Metazoa; Arthropoda; Branchiopoda; Diplostraca; Daphniidae
Exons: 2
Source: RefSeq, a predicted model, not a curated record
CAUGGACGUUGAGAUAUAUUUGGGAUAAGAAGGCGGAACUCAUUGUUACCUUGCUACGCCUCAACAAGCACGUUACCUUUUAGUAUCGACACAGCCAAUGCGAGUUGCGUAAAAAUCAUCGUCACCAACUAGAUGGCUAAUAGUUGUGCUGGCUGUAUAUAAAAGGCAGCAGAACAUGGCAGUAAUCAUCACAAUCCUGCCUGGAGUAUCCCAGCGUUACCACCACAGUCUACAUUUCUCUACAACAUCAUGAAGCUACUGAUGAUUCUCGCUGCUCUUCUGGCGGUCUUGGUUGCCGUUACGUUGGCCAAUCCGACGGAAACUGAAGCGGUCGACGGCGAUGGCCAGCACGAUCUUGUCGGAGACGAACACUUUUUGAAAAAGUACAAGAAACAUUCCAAGCACCACGCCUAUCCAGUCCAUAGGGUGCAACAUCACCCAGUUCCAGUUUAUCAUCCGGUCCCUGUUUACCAUCCACGUCCCGUCUACCAUCCAGUUCCAGUUUACCACAAAAAGUUCCACAAGGGUUAACCAGACUUUGUUUAUCUGGAACUCAAGUUUUUUUCCAGUGAAUGGAAACAGACAUGCAGAGCUUAACCAAACAAAAAAAAACAUACACACACACAUCGAGCUUUCUCUACAAAGGCAUCCUUCUUUUCACCUGUCAAUCAUUAAAUAACUUGUUACGCGCAAUACGUUUUACGGUAUUUCCUUUUUUCACGAUUUUUUAAAUACAAGUUUUCUUUGAAAAUAAAA